GAUGAACGCUGGCGGCGUGCCUAAUACAUGCAAGUCGAGCGAACAGAUGAGGAGCUUGCUCCUCUGACGUUAGCGGCGGACGGGUGAGUAACACGUGGAUAACCUACCUAUAAGACUGGGAUAACUUCGGGAAACCGGAGCUAAUACCGGAUAAUAUAUUGAACCGCAUGGUUCAAUAGUGAAAGACGGUUUUGCUGUCACUUAUAGAUGGAUCCGCGCCGCAUUAGCUAGUUGGUAAGGUAACGGCUUACCAAGGCGACGAUGCGUAGCCGACCUGAGAGGGUGAUCGGCCACAUUGGAACUGAGACACGGUCCAGACUCCUACGGGAGGCAGCAGUAGGGAAUCUUCCGCAAUGGGCGAAAGCCUGACGGAGCAACGCCGCGUGAGUGAUGAAGGUCUUCGGAUCGUAAAACUCUGUUAUUAGGGAAGAACAAAUGUGUAAGUAACUAUGCACGUCUUGACGGUACCUAAUCAGAAAGCCACGGCUAACUACGUG
Molecule: ribosomal RNA, 497 nt
Filed under: uncultured bacterium
Lineage: Bacteria
Description: partial 16S ribosomal RNA
Rfam family: Bacterial small subunit ribosomal RNA
Source: RNAcentral